RNAcentral lists this ribosomal RNA (305 nucleotides) under uncultured bacterium. RNAcentral's name for it is "bacterial SSU rRNA". It matches the Rfam family "Bacterial small subunit ribosomal RNA", at positions 333 to 630 of the family's 1533-position model. The record is from RNAcentral.
GAGUCCCUACGGAAGGCGGCAGUAGGGAAUCUUCCACAAUGGGCGAAAGCCUGAUGGAGCAACGCCGCGUGGGUGAAGAAGAUCUUCGGAUCGUAAAACCCUGUUGUUAGAGAAGAAAGUGCGUGAGAGUAACUGUUCACGUUUCGACGGUAUCUAACCAGAAAGCCACGGCUAACUACGUGCCAGCAGCCGCGGUAAUACGUAGGUGGCAAGCGUUAUCCGGAUUUAUUGGGCGUAAAGGGAACGCAGGCGGUCUUUUAAGUCUGAUGUGAAAGACUUAGGCUUAACCGGAGUAGUGCAUUGGA